RNAcentral lists this ribosomal RNA (325 nucleotides) under uncultured eukaryote. RNAcentral's name for it is "partial 18S ribosomal RNA". It matches the Rfam family "Eukaryotic small subunit ribosomal RNA", at positions 1470 to 1796 of the family's 1831-position model. The record is from RNAcentral.
CCCUUAGACGUUCUGGGCCGCACGCGCGCUACACUGACGAAGGCAACGAGCUUUCCUUUACCGAAAGGUACGGGUAAUCUUUUGAAACUUCGUCGUGCUGGGGAUAGAUCCUUGCAAUUUUUGAUCUUAAACGAGGAAUUCCUAGUAAACGCAGAUCAUCAAUCUGCAUUGAUUACGUCCCUGCCCUUUGUACACACCGCCCGUCGCACCUACCGAUUGGAUGGUCCGGUGAAGCCUCGGGAUUGUGGUUCUUGCCGCUUUAUUGUGGCGUGACCGCGAGAACUUGUCUAAACCUUAUCAUCUAGAGGAAGGUGAAGUCGUAACA